RNAcentral lists this ribosomal RNA (253 nucleotides) under uncultured bacterium. RNAcentral describes it as "partial 16S ribosomal RNA". It matches the Rfam family "Bacterial small subunit ribosomal RNA", at positions 524 to 776 of the family's 1533-position model. The record is from RNAcentral.
UACGGAGGGGGCGAGCGUUGAUCGGAAUCACUGGGCGUAAAGCGCGCGUAGGCGGUCUAUUAAGUGGGAUGUGAAAUCCCCGGGCUUAACCUGGGAAUUGCAUUUCAAACUGGCCGACUAGAGUACGGUAGAGGGAGGUAGAAUUUCCUGUGUAGCGGUGAAAUGCGUAGAUAUAGGAAGGAAUACCAGUGGCGAAGGCGGCCUCCUGGAUCGAUACUGACGCUGAGGCGCGAAAGCGUGGGGAGCAAACAGG